Molecule: long non-coding RNA, 1767 nt
Organism: Macrobrachium nipponense
Lineage: Eukaryota; Metazoa; Arthropoda; Malacostraca; Decapoda; Palaemonidae
Exons: 2
Source: RefSeq, a predicted model, not a curated record
CUCUGUUGAUUUGGAAGAGGGCAAGCAGAUUAUCCUCUGUUGAUUUGGAAGAGGGCAAGCAGAUUAUCUUCGGUUGAUUUGGAAGAAUGCAAGCAGAUUAUCCUCUUUUGAUUUGGAAGAUUGCAAGCAGAUUAUCCUCUGUUGAUUUGGAAGAGGUCAAGCAGAUUAUCGUCUGCUGAUUUGGAAGAAGGCAAGCAGAUUAUCCUCUGUUGAUUUGAAGAUGCCAAGCGGAUUAUUAUCCGUCUAUAAUCUCAUUCCUUAGGAUCACAACCAAAAUAAGACUUACGUUUGGUGUGCACUUAAUAACUGGUUUAUGGGCUAAGUUCUUCAGUGAUGCAGGGCCGGUCUUGUAAUAGGCAAGGCUAGCAAAUGCUAGGGGCGCCACGGAUCUUGGGCGUGCAAUAUAUAUAAAUGAAAUACUAGCACUGCUGCAGCAACAACUGCGAAUAAUUAAUUGUAUUAAUCUUCUAAUGUAUGAUGAAUAGUCUCGCCAAGAAAUGUGCAGAAUAGACAGGAACGAGAAGAAAAUUAGAGUAAUGAAGAUUUAUUGAUAAAAACUGUAACAAAUGCUGCAAUUCGUAUUAAUAGAUUUUCAUUACCCUACAUUUCAAGGGCUUCUUGUCUCAUAUUACCGUUAUUAUUAAUAAAUGAUGCAAUCUAUGUUAAAUUUUGCAUAUGCGAUAAUAAAAUGCAUAUAUCAGUUAUGUUUGAUUUUACACCUGCGUGUGUAUCUCAAUGCAAGAAACAAGCUCUAUAUUUUUAAGCUCUUAUAAAGCCGCUGUGAACUCUUCAUCAGACACCAGAUAGGAAAUCUGAGUAAAAAUUAUGGAACAGUCAGAUAUCAACCUUAGCAAGCCAGAAGAGCAUUUCUUGAGCUGAGGAAAUCUCUUCAGACUGUCCAGGUUCUGUCAUUAAAGUCGUUGGAAGAAUUGUGAUUGAGUCAUUGCAUUAUUUGCUCAGCAGUUUUGUUUGGUAUACUUGGCGAAACUCAGUAUAAGUAAAGUUUUGCAGUCAAUCUCCAUGUAGCUUGGCGUGGCUGUGGACUUUCUCAUGAAGACUAGAUAUUCUCUUGUUUGCCACAGGAAACCUGUCCAGCGAUGAAUGUGGACUCACUGCUAAAACAAGCGAAAUAGAGAAACAGAAAAAAGAUUUCAGCCACGAGUGUGCGGAUGAGCAUAUCAGUGAUGCACAUAAGAGAAAGGAGAAUAAUAUUUCUAUUGUGGUAUUGGGCACUGCCAUUUUCUUGCUUGUUGAAAGGUUUAAAACCUUGAGAGUCUAAAGACAGCAAGACCACUGCCAAACCCUCAGAAACACAUUGACGCCCGAAGGACGCUGGAACUUAGAUGGUAAGAAUCUAACUAUGUAGCUAUAGAUUUUCCGGAUUUGCCUUCAUGCAACACGCCACCCUUGGACCUCUUACCCUCUGGGCGGGAAAAGAGGCAGACUAUUAUAUUUCUUAAAAUAUCCCUGCAAGAAUACCUGCAGCGGGGAGGAGCUUUUCUAUACCUAAGUUAAGAAAAACAUACAUGAGCUCUGCAGUGGUGCAAGAACUUACAGUGGACUGGUUACCGUUACAGUGAAUCAUGAAGUUUCCAGAUAAUACUGUAAUUCAUGAAUUUGCUGCAUAAGGUCAAGUCGAAGCACCUCAUAAUAUGUAUGAAAAUAUGAAGAGAUUUGAUCAAAUUUCAAAUAAUUACUGUUUUAUGUUGCUAUUUUCAUGAUCUAUUCUUGAACUUCGGAUUAUAUCUUACAAAAUAAACCUAGAAU